This 467-nucleotide ribosomal RNA is filed under the name uncultured bacterium. RNAcentral describes it as "partial 16S ribosomal RNA". It matches the Rfam family "Bacterial small subunit ribosomal RNA", at positions 29 to 507 of the family's 1533-position model. The record is from RNAcentral.
ACGAACGCUGGCGGCGUGCUUAACACAUGCAAGUCGAACGGAAAGGCCCUGCUUUUGUGGGGUGCUCGAGUGGCGAACGGGUGAGUAACACGUGAGUAACCUGCCCUUGACUUUGGGAUAACUUCAGGAAACUGGGGCUAAUACCGGAUAGGAGCUCCUGCUGCAUGGUGGGGGUUGGAAAGUUUCGGCGGUUGGGGAUGGACUCGCGGCUUAUCAGCUUGUUGGUGGGGUAGUGGCUUACCAAGGCUUUGACGGGUAGCCGGCCUGAGAGGGUGACCGGCCACAUUGGGACUGAGAGACGGCCGAGACUCCUACGGGAGGCAGCAGUGGGGAAUAUUGCACAAUGGGCGGAAGCCUGAUGCAGCAACGCCGCGUGCGGGAUGACGGCCUUCGGGUUGUAAACCGCUUUCGCCUGUGACGAAGCGGGAGUGACGGUAAUGGGUAAAGAAGCACCGGCUAACUACGUG